UACAGGGGGGGGCAAGCGUUGUUCGGAAUUACUGGGCGUAAAGGGUUCGUAGGUGGCCAACUAAGUCAGACGUGAAAUCCCUCAGCUUAACUGGGGGAACUGCGUCUGAUACUGGAUGGCUUGAGUGUAGGAGAGGAAUGCGGAAUUCCAGGUGUAGCGGUGAAAAUGCGUAGAUAUCUGGAGGAACACCGGUGGCGAAAGGCGGCAUUCUGGACUACAACUGACACUGAGGAACGAAAAGCCAGGGGGGAGCAAAACGGGG
RNAcentral lists this ribosomal RNA (262 nucleotides) under uncultured bacterium. RNAcentral describes it as "partial 16S ribosomal RNA". It matches the Rfam family "Bacterial small subunit ribosomal RNA", at positions 524 to 778 of the family's 1533-position model. The record is from RNAcentral.